AGUGAACGCUGGCGGCAUGCCUAACACAUGCAAGUCGAACGGCAGCACAGUAAGCUUUUGCUCUUAUGGGUGGUGAGUGGCGGGCGGGUGAGGUAUACAUCGGUACCUACUUUUUCGUGGGGAAUAACGUAGGGAAACUUACGUUAAUACUGCAUACUACCUACGGGUGAAAGCAGGGGACCUUCGGACUUUGCGUGAUUGAAUGAGCCGCUGUCGGAUUAGCUAGUUGGCGGGGUAAAGGCCUACCAAGGCGACGAUCCGUAGCUGGUCUGAGAGGACGAUCAGCCACACUGGAACUGAGACACGGUCCAGACUCCUACGGGAGGCAGCAGUGGGGAAUAUUGGACAAUGGGCGCAAGCCUGAUCCAGCAAUACCGCGUGGGUGAAGAAGGCCUUCGGGUUGUAAAGCCCUUUUGUUGGGAAAGAAAAGCAGCAGGUUAAUACCCCGCUGUUCUGACGGUACCGUAAGAAUAAGCACCGGCUAACUUCGUG
Molecule: ribosomal RNA, 492 nt
Filed under: uncultured bacterium
Lineage: Bacteria
Description: partial 16S ribosomal RNA
Rfam family: Bacterial small subunit ribosomal RNA
Source: RNAcentral